RNAcentral lists this transfer RNA (72 nucleotides) under Paenibacillus antarcticus. RNAcentral's name for it is "tRNA-Ala". Lineage: Bacteria; Bacillati; Bacillota; Bacilli; Caryophanales; Paenibacillaceae. The record is from RNAcentral.
GAACAUAUCUCAACUGGGACAGCGCAUCGCUUGCAACGAUAAGGACAGGAGUGCGAUUCCCCUUGGCCACCA